This is a long non-coding RNA of Juglans microcarpa x Juglans regia, 230 nucleotides long. RefSeq lists it as uncharacterized. The transcript is spliced from 3 exons. Lineage: Eukaryota; Viridiplantae; Streptophyta; Magnoliopsida; Fagales; Juglandaceae. The record is from RefSeq and is a predicted model, not a curated record.
UUUGAUAGUAGGCCCAUGGAAAGAUAGGAUUUACAAUAGCAAAGUGGUAUGGCUUAGCAUGGUACAGCUAUCAAUUAUAGGGACUAAAGAUCCCAUCAGGUAAAAUUCGAGUGCCCGAGCAGAACAAAGAACCAAGAAUCCAAGCCUCCAUGCAUGCUGUUUAGGAAGAAGAUCUUCAUUCUUCUUCAUUACAGGAUAUAGAAUGAACUCCCCAGCCUUUCAUGUAUGAG